RNAcentral lists this ribosomal RNA (406 nucleotides) under uncultured bacterium. RNAcentral describes it as "bacterial SSU rRNA". It matches the Rfam family "Bacterial small subunit ribosomal RNA", at positions 355 to 775 of the family's 1533-position model. The record is from RNAcentral.
UGGGGAAUAUUGGGCAAUGGGCGCAAGCCUGACCCAGCAACGCCGCGUGAGGGAAGAAGGCUUUCGGGUUGUAAACCUCUGUCCUUGGUGACGAAACAAAUGACGGUAGCCAAGGAGGAAGCCCCGGCUAACUACGUGCCAGCAGCCGCGGUAAUACGUAGGGGGCGAGCGUUGUCCGGAAUUACUGGGCGUAAAGGGUGCGUAGGUGGCCUUUUAAGUUGGAUGUGAAAUACCCGGGCUUAACUUGGGGGGUGCAUCCAAAACUGGAAGGCUAGAGUGCAGGAGAGGAAAGCGGAAUUCCUAGUGUAGCGGUGAAAAGCGUAGAUAUUAGGAGGAACACCAGUAGCGAAGGCGGCUUUCUGGACUGUAACUGACACUGAGGCACGAAAGCGUGGGGAGCAAACAG